RNAcentral lists this long non-coding RNA (14459 nucleotides) under Gossypium barbadense (sea-island cotton). Its description in RNAcentral is "long non-coding RNA (GBAR_LNC017461)". The record is from RNAcentral. Lineage: Eukaryota; Viridiplantae; Streptophyta; Magnoliopsida; Malvales; Malvaceae.
CCACCACUUAUUGACCGAACCCUUCUCCGAGCAAGAGUGCCACCAAUCCCUAGAUUUCAUCAUCUCGAAUAUGACCGACCUCCUUCCUUAUACACCUCUACAUCACUUGGCCCUAAUAACCAUAAACCCUUAACUGUAUCUAUUUUCAAGAUCACACAAAAUCAACUUAAUACCCUAAAAGCCAAGUCAUGGGAACAUGGAAACAAAACCAAUUGCAGCACCUUCACCAUUCUAGCUGCAUACAUAUGGCACUGUGAAACUAAAGCUUGGGGCCUCUCAUAUGAUCAACCAACCAAGUUACACAUGCCAACUAAUGGACGCCCCAGACUACAUCCUCCCCUCCCAUCAAUGUACUUGGGCAACGCAAUGUUUGUAGCUUCAUUAAUUGCUCUAUCUGGAAAUCUCCAAUCAGAACCGUUUGUAAAUACCCUAGAACGAGUUCAUGGAACAUUGCAAAGGAUGAAUAAUGAGUAUCUAAGAUCAGCUCUUGACUACCUAGAAACACUGCCAGAUAUAACAAUUGCCAGGAGAACACCGGACACUUACCAUUGCCCAAACCUAAGUAUCAACAAAUGGACACAACUGUCUUUAUAUGAUGCAUAUUUUGGAUGGGGUCGACCAAUAUACAUGGGUCCAACAAACGUUGUCCAUGAAGGAAAAAUAUGUAUACUACCAAGUCCAACCGAUGAUGGGAGCUUGUCAUUGGUAACAUGCCUACAGACUGCUCAUAUGAAACUCUUCGAGAAACAUCUAUACGAAGGCUUGAAGUCAUUUGACAAGAUCAAAGCUCGAUAUUAGUUGUUUGUUCUCUCUAUCAAUAUAUGUAUAAACCUAUAAAUCUUCUACUUCUGUUUCUUUAACUAAGACUUUUUGUUUGGAUCCUGUUUAUUUGAAAUUUACCAUCUAAGUUGGCCUGGCAAACAGGUGUUUUAUUGGUAAUUAUUGUACUAUACCUCAAUAAUAGUAAUAGCAUUGAUCGCAAAGAAAUAAUAAAUUAAAAUAAGAAUACACAGAUUUUACGUGGAAAAGUCUUAUUAGAAAAAAAAUCACAGGCAGAGUAAAAAUUUACUAAUGUUGAAAAGCAACAAUACAAGAAGUUUUUUUACUACACACGUUUUAACGGUUAAAUAACAUUUUUAUAAUCAAUGUCUAAUAGAAGAUCGCUCCCACAUAUCCCCCAAAUUUGCAAUUCUAUUUUAUUUCUUUAACAAACAAGUUGCACCUCGAAUUUUUCUGACUGGAUCAAACGGGGUUCAAAUCAAACAGCUCUGACAACAACUCAAAUUAUUUUUCCAUAACCAUAUUAAAACAAAUACCGAAUAAUUGAAAUAUAUUCAAAAUUUUAAAUUAAAUUAAGUUUGGAUCAAACUCACUGAUGAUAUAUGAUUUACCUAAAGUGAAAUAAGAACUCGAAAAUAUAAAAUUUAUGGGUAAAUUUUCGUUUUGGUCACUUAAUUAAAAAAUUAUAAUUUGGUUAUUAAACUAUUCAAAAGUUUUAUUUUAAGUCAUUGGAUUGUUAAAAUUUAUAUUAUACGACUUUCUCUAUUCGCAGUGCAUGCAUCAAUUGAAAGCUCUCUUUUUCCUUCAUUUUUACAGUUCAUUUUCUAUUUUUAUGUAAAAACUUUGGACGUCAUAAAUCUGUAGACCAAAAUUUAAACAUUUUUUGCUCUGAUUUCCAACAUCGACCAUCAAAUCAAUUUAGAUCUAAGGUAUAUUUUUCUACUCAUUAAUGGAAUAAUGGGUAUCGAUCCAUCGUAUCGAUUGUUGACACCAUUUUUUGGAUGAAAACGGAGUCGACUUGGGUUUGAAAAUGAAAACGAAAAACAAGGUGUCGCGACCGAUCCUUUUUGAUGAGGUGUGAUCGGGUCACCUCGUAAAAGUGGUUGUUUUUAAUAAACGGUUUAAUUUUAUUAAAACAACGAGUUUGGUCCACGAAAUUUAGAAAAACAGGUUCGGGAGUCGGUUACGCACGAGGAAGGAUUAGCACCCUCGAUACGCCCAAAAUUGGUACCCAGUUGAUUACUUAAUGUCUUAAUGUCGAAAAUUGAAAACUUUGAAGAAUUUUAAAAAAUACGAUCCUUGUAUUAAAACGUUGAAAAUUUUCAAGAAAAUGAGGAUAUUUCACGUUAUUCGAGAAAGAGAAUCAUAUCCAGUAAGUUAGGACACAAUGUCUCGAAUUUCCGAUACGCGAAUGAAAAAUGCUUAUUUAAAAGAUAUUUAGCUAUCUCGGAUUUAAAAAAGAGAUCACGACCAGUAAGUUAGAACACGAUCUUUUUUAUUCCCGAGAUCAUUUAAAACUUAAGUUUGAAAAGAUUCGUGUAAUAAAGUUUAAAAGAAUAUUCAAUUGUUUAAAUCAAAUGAAGAAAUUGCAACCCAAUACGUUAGAGCACAAUUUCUCAAAAUAUUAAACACUGAAUAUUGCAUUUAUUUCGAAAAAUCCUCGUCUCGAGGAACCACGUGUCAUGUCCAAUGCAUUAGGACGCAACGUAUUCAAUUCUUGAUAACGAACUUUUUAUCAUUUUUUUAAAAGAGUAAUCUCGAUUAUUUAAGUUCAACGAAGAAAGUCGGAACCCAAUACGUUAGGGCUCGAUUCUCUCGAAGAUCCAAAAUAACGAAUAUUACUUAUUUCUAAAAUUUCUUUUUCGAAAUCUAAAUAAAAAUGGGUGUAAUGGAUUAACGAUGAUAAUAAUGUAAGUAAAAUAAUAAUAUGAGCAAUAGCAUCAAAGAUAAGAUAAAAUAAAAAAGGACAAAUCAAUAGCAUACAGAAUAAAUAUAUAAGCAAAUAAAGUUAAAGCAUUCGUUUAAAAUAAUAAUGAAAAUGUAAAUAAAGAGAUAAACAAAAAAUGAACAAAACUAUAUAAAAAAUAAAAGAUAUAUAUAUUAUAUGCAUAAAUACAUUUGUACAAAAAAAAGGAUAUGUAAGUUGAAAUAUAGAAAAAUAUACGUAAGAAAAAAAUAGGUUUUUAAAACAUAAAAAGUAUGUAUAAAUAUGUUUAUAUGUAAUAAAAACACGUAUGUAUAUAUGAAAUACAACAAUAAUAAAGUAUAAAUAUGUACAUUUAUAUAAAUGGAAAAAGUAGAUAUGUAUAUGUAUAUAUAUAUUAUAAAGCAUAAAAAUAAGUAUUUAUAUAAAUAAAAAUUCGUAUGUAUAUACAUAUAUAUUACAUAAAGAUAAAAGGUAUAAGUAUGUAUAUUAUAAAAUAAAACCGUGCAAGUAUGUACAUAUAUAGAUGAAUUAUAAAGUAAGUAAAAUAUGAGUAUGUAUAUAACAAAGUCUAAAACGGUAUAAAUAGGUAGAUCAAAUGCAAUAAUAAUAAUAAUAAUAAUAAAUUAAAUAAUAAAAAGGGCUAAAUUGAAAACAAAACAAAAUAAGAGAGGAAAAAAAUCAAAAAUGAAAAGAAGUCAAGGAUUAAUCCGUGACGCGCUUGAAAGGAGAGGGACCGAGGCUGCAAAUAAACCGAAGCCCCCAAAACGCAGCGCAGCAGUGGACUAAAUUGAAACAAAAAUAAAACUUUGUGGCCAAAUUAAAAAUAAAAGAAAAUGCGAAAAGGGGCCAAAUUGCGACACACUUCAAAGUCAGAGGGACUGCGUGCGCAAAUAUCCCCUUUAGCGAAAACACGCUGAUCCUCCCCUCGGGUCGGAUCACCGCGCGGGUCAAGGGAGCCUUAAACGUCGCCGUUUUGAAAUUCCUAUAAAAGCUAAUUUUUUUCUGCUAUUUCAUUUCUUAAAAAAAAACAUAAGAAAAAACAAAAGGGUCUUCCCCUUUCUCUGCUAGGGUUCCAAACUUGGAACCCCGCCGCCGUCUGCCGCAUCUCCAUCGCAGCGCCACCAAGGACGGUGGCCGGAGUCGUGCGAGAAAAAGGGAUUUUUAACCCUCAUCGUGUGGCAUCCUUGAGAUCUCAGAUCUCUCAACCCGCGGGAAAGAGGGAAACCCACAACCCCUCUCGGACCCGAAUCGGCGACGGAGGAGAAGCCCUCCGACGGCGCAACCACGGUGGUUCCCGGUGAGUCCCCUUUCCCUUUUUAUUUUCUAUUUAAUGUACGAAAUAAAGAAAAUAAAAUAAAUAAAUAAAGAAAUGCGAAUCUGAUAUCAAGCCUUGAAUCUAUUUUUUUGAUUGUUUUAUUUAUAUGAAAAUGUUACAAAAGAAAAGAAAAAGCCCCCCGAUUCAGUGAUGAAGCCCCCUCUUACAAUCAAAAUCCCUAUAUUCUACUGCUAUUGUGUCUUUUCUUUUGUAGGUGGAGCAGGUGAGGGCGUCGGUGGCAAGUGGGCAUGGUGAUGGGACGUAUGCGGCGGCCAGCAGAGCUAGGGUGCAGAGGGCUGCAGCGCUAGGGUUUCUUUUCUGAAACCCUAGCUUGACUUUUGGGGAAUUGGGCUCCGAAUUUGGGCCUCGGGUUUGGGUUAGGCUAGUUGGGUUUAUUGUAUUGGGUUGUAACUGGAAUUGGAUCAUUUGGGUUUGGGUGGUUUGGGCUGAGUCUGUUGGGUUAUUGGGCUGAUGUUUGUUAGUUUAGGGUUAAUUGGGCCCAGGCAUAAAAAUUGGGCUUGUACAAUAAAUAUAUAUUUUUUAUUUUUAUUUUUUAAUUUUAAAAUACGUUAAAAAUAUUUUUUUUUAUUUUUAAAAUAUUUUUUUUGUGUUUAUUAAAAAUCGGGCUGGGCCCGGGCUUAUUAUUUUUUUCUCGGGCCGGGCCUGGGAAAAAUUUCAGGCCCAUAUUUCGGGCCGGGCCGGGCCCGGGCCUAAGAGUCGGGCCAAAUUUUUUCCCGGGCCCGGCCCGAACCCGGCCCGGCCCAUGGACAGGUCUAGUGACAGUACAAAUGGGUUUUAAAUGCCAACUACGAUGUCCAAUUAUUAGGACAAAAAUAGGUUUUUAAUUAAAUAAAUUAAAUUUAGACUGCCACGUAGGACCGUCAUAAGGGAGGUAAGAGAGCUUAAUGAUAGAGUGACCAAUUCGUAACAGAACGAUAACAUUAGUGACUAAAACGUAACAUUUCAAACUUAAGUGACUAAAAUGUAAUCUGAAGCAAAUAAAAGUGACUGUUUUAAAGUUUACCCUUAAUGUAAUUAUUGGCGGAUGAUCUGGCCGCACCGACAAACAGCAGAAAUUGAGUCAUUUUCGUAAUUAUUUACAAAAUUUGGGUUACUUUUGUAAAAAAACCAGAGAAGAGAACCUCGCCUCUUCUUAAGAUAGCCGGACACUUUCUAACUUUCCCUUCUUUCAGUUUUUCAUCAACAGGUUUGCCUCUUACCAGAACAUCAAUGGAUGUUAGUGUAAAGAGAUGGAGCAUGAUACGCCCUGCCCAAGAUACUCCUAAAGAAAGGCAAUGGAUUUCAAAUCUGGACAUGGUGAUAACAACAUACCAUGUCCCUUUGCUGUUUUUCUACAAACCAAAUGGCUCCUCUGAUUUCUUUAAGCCUCAAGUGCUACAGGAGGCUUUAAGCAAGACUCUUGUGCAAUUCUAUCCUAUGGCUGGGAGGUUGGGACAUGAUGAAAAUGGUAGGCUCGAGAUAUUAUGCAACGCAGAGGGUGUUCUGUGGAUAGAAGCUGAAACUACAUCGGCCAUGGAUGAUCUCGACGGUUUUACUCCCUGCUCAAAACUGAGGAAACUGGUUCCCACGGCUGAUUACUCUGGAGAUAUCAGUUCUUAUCCGCUUAUUAUGGCUCAGGUAAGUGAAUGAAGAACUAUUAUCUUAUUGUAGAUGAUAACUGUUACUUGCAGUAGGAGACCAAGGAUAAGCUCUGAGAAAACUCAAACAGUCUGAUACUGAAGUUAUAGCACAAGAAAAACUAAGCUAUCAGCUAAGAAGUUGAUAUAUGGCUUUUUUUUCUCAAAACUGACUUAAAAGAAUCGAUUAAUUAUGAAAAUUACCCAGGUAUAAUAUCUUAUAUGAGAAUGACCCGUUUUCUACCGUAAAAAUUGGUACCGCUAGACUAUUUAGCGGUACCGAUAUUUUUGUAAAAGUAUUACCAUCAACAAAUUAUCGAUAUAUACUUUCCAUUCAUCUUCACAAGAAAGUGCUAAUUACGGAGGUCCAUGGUGGUGGCUUAGUAGUGAUGAAGAUGAAACCAAAACCCUUUUCUCUUCAAUGAACCUCUGGUUUGACUCAUUUGUAAUAAUUAUUUUCGCUCGUUGGAUACACCCGCAUUUUAAAUGGAAAACUGUAAUAAUCCUCACCGAAGAAAAGCAAAGAACAAGAUUAAUCAAAGCGAACAAUAUUGUUACAAAUGAGUUAGGAGAGAGGUUCAUUGAAGAGAAAAGGGUUUCGAUUUCAUCUUCUUCACUGCUAAGCCACUGCCAUGGAACUCUUAGACCUUUCUCAUGAAGCUAAACGAUACCAUCAACAAAGUAUAUCCUUUUUACAAAACUAACAUCGGUGCCAACAAUGAGUCCGGCAACAUUCAAAAAAUAUAUUUUUUUAAAAAACAUGGGGUGGUGCUUCAAUGGAAAUGGUGGCACCAAAUUUUAUGAUAGAAAAUGGGUUAUUCUCGUACAAAAUUUUACACUUGAGUCAUUUUUAUAAUUAAUAAAAAUUUUUGGUCAAUUUUGAAAAAAAAAACUUAAUGUUUUUGUUUCGAAAAGGUCAAUUGUUGAGUGUAUAUUUUGCUAGGUAACUACUCUUAAAUGCGGUGGAGUUUGUCUUGGAAUAGCAACUCAUCAUACUUUGACUGAUGGCACAACGACCUUACAUUUCAUUAAUAGUUGGUCUGAAAUGGCAAGAGGCUUGCCCCAAAUUAGCAUGCCACCACUUAUUGACCGAACCCUUCUCCGAGCAAGAGUGCCACCAAUCCCUAGAUUUCAUCAUCUCGAAUAUGACCGACCUCCUUCCUUAUACACCUCUACGUCACUUGGCCCUAAUAACCAUAAACCCUCAACUGUAUCUGUUUUCAAGAUCACACAAAAUCAACUUAAUACCCUAAAAGCCAAGUCAUGGGAACAUGGAAACAAAACCAAUUACAGCACCUACACCAUUCUAGUUGCAUACAUAUGGCGCUGUGCAACUAAAGCUUGGGACCUCUCAUAUGAUCAGCCAACCAAGUUACACAUCCCAACUGAUGGACGCCCCAGACUACAUCCUCCCCUCCCAUCAACGUACUUGGGCAACGCAAUGUUUGCGGCUUCAUUAAUUGCUCUAUCUAGAAAUCUGCAAUCAGAACCGUUUGUAAAUACCCUAGAACGAGUUCAUGGAACAUUGCAAAGGAUGAAUAAUGAGUAUCUAAGAUCAGCUCUUGACUACCUAGAAACACUGCCAGAUAUAACAGUUGCCAGGAGAACACCGGACACUUACCAUUGCCCAAACCUAAGUAUCAACAAAUGGACACGACUGUCUUUAUAUGAUGCAGAUUUUGGAUGGGGUCGACCAAUAUACAUGGGUCCAGCAAACAUUGUCCAUGAAGGAAAAAUAUACAUACUACCAAGUCCAACCAAUGAUGGGAGCUUGUCAUUGGUAGCAUGCCUACAGACUGCUCAUAUGAAACUCUUCGAGAAACAUCUAUACGAAGGCUUGAAGUCAUUUGACAAGAUCAAAGCUCGAUAUUAGUUGUUUGUUCUCUCUAACAAUAUAUGUAUAAACCUAUAAAUCUUCUACUUCUGUUUCUUUAACUAAGACUUUUUGUUUGGAUCCUGUUUAUUUGAAAUUUACCAUCUAAGCUGGCUUGGCGAACAGGUCUUUUAUUGGUAAUUAUUGUACUAUACCUCGAUAAUAGUAGUAUCAUUGAUCGCAAAGAAAUAAUAAAGAAAAAUAAGAAUACACAGAUUUUACGUGGAAAAGUCUUAUUAGGAAAAAAAAUCACGAGCAGAGUAAAAAUUCACUAAUGUUGAAAAAUACUAAUACAAGAAGUUUUUUUGACUACACAUUUUAACGGUUAAAUAACAUUUUUAUAAUCAACGUUUAAUAGAAGAUCGCCCCCACAUAUCCCCCAAAUUUGCAAUUCUAUUUUAUUUCUUUAACAAACAAGUUGCACCUCGAAUUUUUCUGAUUGGAUCAAACGGGGUUCAGAUCAAACAGCUCUAACAACAACUCAAAUUAUUUGUCCAUAACCAUAUUAAAACAAAUACCGAAUAAUUGAAAUAUAUUCAAAAUUUUAAAUUAAAUUAAGUUUGGAUCAAACUCACUGAUGAUAUAUGAUUUACCUAAAGUGAAAUAAGAACUCGAAAAUACAAAAUUUAUGGGUAAAUUUUCAUUUUGGUCACUUAAUUAAAAAAUUAUAAUUUGGUUAUUAAACUAUUCAAAAGUUUUAUUUUAAGUCAUUGGAUUGUUAAAAUUGAUAUUAUAUGACUUUCUUUGUUCACAGUGCAUGCAUCAAUUGAAAGCUCUCUUUUUCCUUCAUUUCUACAGCUCAUUUUCUAUUUUUAUGUAACAACUUUGGACGUCACAAAUUUGCAGACCAAAAUUCAAACAUUUUUUGCUCUGAUUUCCAACAUGGACCAUCAAAUCAAUGUAGAUCUAAAUUAUAUUUUUAUACUCAUUAAUGGGUACUGAUCCACCAUAUCGAUUGUUGAAUCCUUACUUGGAGCUCGUUAGUGGAACUUAAAAAACAACUUAAUAUAUAGCCUAGUGACUUAAAUGAAAAUUUUUGAAUUUAGUGGCCAAACCAAAAACUUUCCUAUAAUUUAAUGACUAAUGGUAUAGUUUACGCACUUCCUCUUGGCCCAAUUGAAGUUUUUGGUACUCCCACACACUAGUAAAAAAGUUUUAAUAGUAGAAAUGUAUGAAAUUUUUAAUAGAAAGUACCAUUUUACUUUUUGAUCUAUAUACAGAGAUUAAUUUGCCAAUUUUUUAAAUAAAUGGGGUAAAAUGUAAUUUGACUUUUAAUAUAAAAAUCUCCAUGGUAUGUUUACCUUGAAAUUAUCAAUAAAAACUAAUAAAUAUAAAAUGAAACAGUUAAUAAUAUAUCAAAUAUCCACGAGGUGAUAGGUGAUUUUAAAAUUUAACAUUUACAACUUAAUGGGCUAGUGACAAGGCCAAGCAAACCAUUAGUGGAUUGGUAACAAAUUUGGUAAUAUUUCAACGAUCCAAUUGUUUAAUAUAUCGAUAUAACUGUAUUUGGUAUGCAUGAAAAUUUUCGAACCGAUCCGAUAUUUCUGACAUAUUGAUCCAAAAUAUUGUAUAUAUUGAACUAUUAAAAGUUUUUAUAUAAAAUAAAUAGUUAGUUUUUUUUUUAAUUUACAUCAAAUUUGACAUGCAUAAUAUGACAAUUGAAUCAUUAAAAUAUGGGUAAACUACACCCAUGGUCACUUUUGUUUACCUUAGGUUACAUUUCAGUCACUUAUGUUUGAAAUGUUACAUUUUAGUCACUUACGUUAUCGUGUUGUAAUAUUUUAGUCACUGAGCCGUUAAUUGCCGUUAAUGGUGUAAUGGUAAGCUGACGUGGCACGUUAAAUCAUCAUUUCAAACAAAAACUUUAGGUUAAAUUAUACAAUUGGUCACCAUAAUUUUUCGUUUUGAGCAAUUUAAUUCUUUUAUGUUCUUUUAACUUUCUUUUUUUUUUCUUUUUUUCUUUUCUCUUCUGCUUCACCCUAUGUUUUUCUACCUUCUUUAUUUCUUUUAACAUACCAGGAAGUCGAAUUGGUAGUGAAGAAAGAAGCAUGAUAUGGGUUUAUGGGUUUUGGUUAUAGGGUUUUGGUUAUAGGCAAAUGAUGACAGUCGACUUCCUACUUCUUUUUUCAUUGCCAAUUCGACUUCCUAAUAUGUUAAAAGAAAUGGGAAAGGUAUGAAAACAGAGGGAGAAACAAAAGAGAAUGAAAAAGAGAGAGGAAAGUUUAAAGAACAUAAAAAAAAUUAAAUUACUAAAAACGAAAAAAAUAUGGGGAUCAAUUGUAUAAUUUAACCUAAAAUUUUGUUUGAAAUGAUGAUUUAACGUGCCACGUCAACUUACCGUUACACCAUUAACGACGAUUAAUGGCUCAGUGACUAAAAUGUUACAACUUGAUAACGUAAAUGACUAAAACGUAACCUAAAGUAAACAAAAGUGACCAUGAGUGUAGUUUACCCUUAAAAUAUUAAUCGUAUAAAAAAAUAAAAUACAUAUUUUAAAUUUAAUAUAAAAAUGUUUAAAAAACACUAAAAUAAAUUAAUAAAAUUCUCAAUGACUUUUGGGUUUAAAUCACAAUUAUCGAAACAGGACAAAUCGAAAAUUAAUUAAUGUAUAAAUUUGGAAUAAGAGGAUUAAUUAUCUCACAAAUUGGUUAAAUCAACCAAUCAGAUCAAUUUUUUUCAUUUUUAAAUUUUUUAAUAAUUUAUUUAAUUAAAUUAAUCAAAUCAAUCAAAUCGGAAUUAGAAUCUAAUUCUAAACACUUUGCUUUGUUAUGUCAAAGCCAUAUGUUUUUUUUACACCUUAUUUAUUCCGCAAAUUAUUGUCCGCACAUGUCAACUCUUUAUCAUCUUUUAAUGACGUGUAUGGUAUAGAUAGCCUAUCUGCAUUUUUUUUUAUUUGCCAAAUUCUUUUAUUAUUCCUUGUAUUAUAAUUAGUUUGUGAAUUUAAUCUCUAUAUUAAAAUAAAAUGUCAAUUUUAGUCCUUAUACUUUUUAGCAUUUAAAAUUUUAAUCCUCCACAAAGAGUAGUAAUUAAAUAUGUUUGUUAAUUUAUGUCGUUAAUCUUUUACACAGUAUAAAGUUAUUCCACGUUCUCUAAUUUGAUCAUUCAUAAUCCUUAUAUUUUUUGAAUUUUUAAAUUUUAACAAGCUGAUAUGAUAUUACAUAUAUGAUAAUAUUUUUGACGUAUAAGAUUUUGAAAAUAAUAAAACUACUUAAUGAAUUUAAUGGUUAUCGUUUAUAUCAAGAUUGAAAUUUCAAAAUUAGAAAAAUAUACGGACUAAAAUGAUUAAAUUAAAGUACAUAGACUAAAUUUAUAACUUGUCUAUUGCACAAGUACUAAUAGCAAGAUUUAACCUAUUUUUACAUUUAAAUAUGUAAAAGUAUCACCCAUCCACUGCCUUCCAAGAGAGAAGAUAAGCGUUUUUUUAGCAAUAAAAGAAAUAAUAAUUACCUGAUAAAUUAUUUUAUGGACAUUUUUCACGAUAUCUUCCAUGAUCCCGUCCUAUUAGAAGAUGACACAUCAUCUUUUUUUGACACAUCAUAUGUACAUUUAGACUAAACUCCCAAAUGAAAGAUGAAGUGUCUUGUUUUAAUUGGGAGGAACUAUGGAUGAUGGGGUGGAAAAUGUCUAUAAAAUAAUUUCUCAUUAUUACCUUGUCUUCGAACACAAAAACACAAGCAUUAGCAUACAGAUUUUGCCCAUCCGCUACCUCCCAAUAGACAAGAUAGGUUUUUUUUUAAUUAACUCAAUUUUUUUGAUUAAUUACGAAAAUAAUCAACUUAAAAAUUACAUACGUAAAUGAUUUGAUUUUUACAGUGUUUGUCGAUGCUUCCAGACACAUCGGCGGCACAAGUCUCAUCAUCGACCAAUAAUUGUAUUAUUUUAAAGAUUUUCAAUUCAUUCCCUAACAUAUUUAAAUUUAUAUAAAUUGAGAUAAUUUUUUGAAGGAUAUAUUUGGGUAAUUUAAAUAAGACUUUUAACUUUAUUGUUUCUAAAAAAAUAAAAAUAAUUUAUUUUUGUUAUUCUUAUAUUUUUAAGGGCUAUUUAAAUAUAAUUUUAAAAAUAUAUAUACUUAACACGCAAAUAAAUAAAAAAUUAACAAGCAUCAAAUUUGGUGCCGACAUGGUGCACUAAAAAGUUAUUAUUUUCUGGGUAAAUUACAGUAAUAGUCACUUUUAUUUACCUCAUUAUAUUUUAGUUAUUUAUGUUUGAAAUAUUACAUUUUAGUCACUUACGUUAUCAUUUUGUUAUUAAGUGGUCACUCCACCGUUAAACUUCGUUACCUCUCUAACGGUAGUCCUACGCGACAGUACAAAUGGGUUUUAAAUACCAACUACGAUGUUCAAUUGUUGGGACGAAAAUAGGUUUUUAAUUAAAUAAAUUUAAUUUAGACUGCCACGUAAGACCAUCAUUAGGGAGGUAAGAGAGCUUAAUGAUAGAGUAACCAAUUCGUAAUAAAAUGAUAACAUAAGUGACUAAAAUGUAAUAUUUUAAACUUAAGUGACUAAAAUAUAAUCUGAAGCAAAUAAAAGUGACUGAUUUAUAGUUUACCCUUAAUGUAAUUAUUGGCGGAUGAUCUGGCCGCACCGACAAACAGUAGAAAUUGAGUCAUUUUCGUAAUUAUUCACAAAAUUUGGGUUACUUUUAUAAAAACCCGAAAAGAGAACCUCGCCUUUGCUUAAGAUAGACGAGCACUUUCUGACCUUCCCUUCUGUUGGGUUUUCAUCAACAGGUUUGCCUCUUAAUUACCAGAACAUCAAUGGAUGUUAGUGUAAAGAGAUGGAGCAUGAUACGCCCUGCUCAAGAUACUCCUAAAGAAAGGCAAUGGAUUUCAAAUCUGGACGUGGUGAGGCCAACAUUCCAUGUCCCUUUGCUGUUUUUCUACAAACCAAAUGGCUCCUCUGACUUCUUCAAGCGUCAAGUGCUACAGGAGGCUUUAAGCAAGACUCUUGUGCAAUUCUAUCCUAUGGCUGGGAGGUUGGGACGUGAUGAAAAUGGUAGGCUCGAGAUAUUAUGCAACGCAGACGGUGUUCUGUGGAUAGAAGCUGAAACUACAUCGGCCAUGGAUGAUCUCGACGGUUUUACUCCCUGCUCAAAACUGAGGAAACUGGUUCCCACGGCUGAUUACUCUGGAGAUAUCAGUUCUUAUCCGCUUAUUAUGGCUCAGGUAAGUGAAUGAAGAACUAUUAUCUUAUUGUAGAUGAUAACUGUUACUUGCAGUAGGAGACCAAGGAUAGGUUCUGAGAAAACUCAAACAGCCUGAUACUGAAGUUAAAGCACAAGAAAAACUAAGCUAUCAGCUAAGAAGUUCAUAUAUACACGAGAAUGACCCGUUCUCUACCGUAAAAGUCGGUGCCGCUAGACUAAUUAGUGACACCAAUAUUUUUGUAAAAGUAUUACCAUCAACAAAGUAUCGAUACUUUCCGUUCAUCUUCACAAGAAAGUGCUAAUUAUGGAGGUCCACGGUGGUGGCUUAGUAGUGAAGAAGAUGAAACCAAAACCCUUUUCUCUUUAAUGGAUCUCUGGUUUGACUCAUUUGUAAUAAUCAUUUUCGUUCGUCGAAUACGACCGCAUUUUAAAUGGAAAACUGUAAUAAUGAUCCUCACUGAAGAAAAGCAAAGAACAAGAUUAAUCAAAGCGAACAAGAUUAUUACAAAUAGACCUGUACAUAGGCCGGGCCGGGUCGGGUUCGGGCUAGGCUCACAAAAAUUUCAGCCCGUUUACUAGGCCCGGGCCAGGCCCGGCCCGAAAUAUAGACAUGAGAUUUUGCCUAGGCCCGGCCCGAAGAAAAAAUAUGGGGCCCGAGCCCGGCCCGUUUUUAAUUAAAAUUAAAAUUAUUUUUUUAAUAAAAUUAAAAUUAAUUGCUAUUAAAAUUAAUUGUUAGUAAAAUUAUCAAAUUAUUAAUUGUUAAUUGUAUUAAUUGUUGUAAUAAAAUCUAACAUUUGAUUAGUAAAUUUAUCAAAUUAUUAAUUGUAUUAAUUGUUGUAACAAAAUCUAACAUUUGAUUAGUAAAACAAACUUGAUGUUUUAUUAUUAUUAUUUUGUAACACUAGUCAAGGAAAUGAAAGUAAAUAAACUUAAAAUAAAAAACUAUUACAUUUUAAAAAUAAAAAAUAUAUAUUUAAUAUUUUUCGGGCCGGGCCGGGCCGAGCCCGGGCCAAAAAAUCUUGCCCGAGGCCUGGCCCAUUUUUUAAACGAGCCUAAAAUUUUGCCCAAUCCCAUAUUUCGGGCAUAUAUUUUACCCAAACCCUCCCAUAUUUUGGGCGGGCCGUCGGGCCGGGCCGGGCCGCCCGGCCCAUGGACAGGUCUAAUUACAAAUGAGCCGGGCGAGAGGUUAAUUGAAGAGAAAAUGGUUUCAAUUUCAUCUUCUUAACUGCUAAGCCACCACCAUGGAACCCUUAGCACUUUUUCGUGAAGCUAAAUGAUACCAUCAACAAAGUAUUGAUCCUUUUUACAAAACUGGCAUUGGUGCCACCAAUGAGUCCGGCGACAUUCAAAACAAAUAUAUUUUUAAAAAACAUGGGGUGGUGCCUUCAAUGGGAAUGAUGGCACCAAAUUUUAUGAUAGAAAAUGGGUUAUUCUUGUACAAGAUUUUACACUUAGUCAUUUUUUAUAAUUAAUCAAUCUUUUUUGGUCAAUUUAAAAAAAAAACCUUAAUAUUUUUGUUUCAAAAAGGUCAAUUAUUGAGUGUAUAUUUUGCUAGGUAACUACUCUUAAAUGCGGUGGAGUCUGUCUUGGAAUAGCUACUCAUUGUACUUUGGCUGAUGGCACAACGACCUUUCAUUUCAUUAAUAGUUGGUCUGAAAUGGCAAGAGGCCUGCCCCAAAUUAGCAUGCCACCACUUAUUAACCGAACCCUUCUCCAAGCAAGAGUGCCACCAAUCCCUAAAUUUCAUCAUCUCGAAUGUGACCUACCUCCUUCUUUAAACAC